This 322-nucleotide small nuclear RNA is filed under the name Rhinopithecus roxellana (golden snub-nosed monkey). RNAcentral describes it as "7SK RNA (ENSRROG00000017217.1)". It matches the Rfam family "7SK RNA". Rfam says of the family: 7SK was discovered as an abundant small nuclear RNA in the mid-70s but a possible function has only recently been suggested. The record is from RNAcentral. Lineage: Eukaryota; Metazoa; Chordata; Mammalia; Primates; Cercopithecidae.
AAACAUGAGGGCUAUUUAGCUGCAACAUCUGUCACCCCAUUGAUCACAAGAGUUGAUUUGGCUGAUGUGACUGGCUAGGGAGGUGUCCCCUUCCUCUCUCUCCAUUCUAUGUGCAUCCCUCCUGAAGUUGUGUGCUCAGUCAAAGAGGAUGAUCAUCACUGAUAGAGGAGGACUGGUCUGCAGUCAAGGGUAUACGAGGAGCUGCACUCCCCUGCUAGAAACUCCAAACAAGCUCUCAAUUUAGUUCAAAAAAUAUUUAUUGGAUGUUUCGUGUAUGUCAGACAUUGUUUUAGAUAGUUCAUUUGAAAUAGUGGUCUUCAAA